UAGGGAAUCUUCGGCAAUGGACGGAAGUCUGACCGAGCAACGCCGCGUGAGUGAAGAAGGUUUUCGGAUCGUAAAGCUCUGUUGUUAGAGAAGAACGUUGGUAGGAGUGGAAAAUCUACUAAGUGACGGUAACUAACCAGAAAGGGACGGCUAACUACGUGCCAGCAGCCGCGGUAAUACGUAGGUCCCGAGCGUUGUCCGGAUUUAUUGGGCGUAAAGCGAGCGCAGGCGGUUCUUUAAGUCUGAAGUUAAAGGCAGUGGCUUAACCAUUGUACGCUUUGGAAACGGGAGGACUUGAGUGCAGAAGGGGAGAGUGGAAUUCCAUGUGUAGCGGUGAAAUGCGUAGAUAUAUGGAGGAACACCGGUGGCGAAAGCGGCUCUCUGGUCUGUAACUGACGCUGAGGCUCGAAAGCGUGGGGAGCAAACAGG
RNAcentral lists this ribosomal RNA (429 nucleotides) under Bacillota bacterium. RNAcentral's name for it is "Firmicutes bacterium partial 16S ribosomal RNA". It matches the Rfam family "Bacterial small subunit ribosomal RNA", at positions 355 to 776 of the family's 1533-position model. Lineage: Bacteria; Bacillati; Bacillota. The record is from RNAcentral.